Molecule: ribosomal RNA, 365 nt
Filed under: Vibrio parahaemolyticus
Lineage: Bacteria; Pseudomonadati; Pseudomonadota; Gammaproteobacteria; Vibrionales; Vibrionaceae
Description: bacterial SSU rRNA
Rfam family: Bacterial small subunit ribosomal RNA
Source: RNAcentral
UACUGGGCGUAAAGGGAGCGUAGGCGGAUUUUUAAGUGAGAUGUGAAAUACUCGGGCUUAACCUGAGUGCUGCAUUUCAAACUGGAAGUCUAGAGUGCAGGAGAGGAGAAGGGAAUUCCUAGUGUAGCGGUGAAAUGCGUAGAGAUUAGGAAGAACACCAGUGGCGAAGGCGCUUCUCUGGACUGUAACUGACGCUGAGGCUCGAAAGCGUGGGGAGCAAACAGGAUUAGAUACCCUGGUAGUCCACGCCGUAAACGAUGGAUACUAGGUGUAGGGGUUGUCAUGACCUCUGUGCCGCAGCUAACGCAUUAAGUAUUCCGCCUGGGGAGUACGGUCGCAAGAUUAAAACUCAAAGGAAUUGACGG